Phyllopteryx taeniolatus (common seadragon) is the source of this 1569-nucleotide long non-coding RNA. RefSeq lists it as uncharacterized. The transcript is spliced from 4 exons. The record is from RefSeq and is a predicted model, not a curated record. NCBI's taxonomy places the organism in Eukaryota, Metazoa, Chordata, Actinopteri, Syngnathiformes, Syngnathidae.
UCCCGGCAUGCACCGCGCCACCACGCGGCAUCCCGUUAUCAGGAUUCCCACGCAGUUUCUCGGCAACUGCAACAUGAUUGGCUCCUGCGUCGAGGGGAGGGCAGGCUACGCAAAUGGGACGACAUGACCAUCCCAAACAUGCAUCCAUCCAUCCAUCCAUCCAUCCAUCCAUUUUCGGAGCCGCUUCUCCCCACUCGGGAGCCCGUCCCAGCCGUCAUCGGGCAGGAGGCGGGGUCCACCCUGAACCGGUCGCCGGCCAAUCGCAGGGCACAUACAAACCAACAACCAUUCGCACUCACAUUCACACCUACGGGCAAUUUAGAGUUGUCAAUUAACCCACUGUAGUAUAUUUUCAUAGUAACACAAUCAGAGUUCCUUUGGGAAGGACAAAUGUUUGGAGAGCUGUGUUCCCACCAACUGUCUUUUCUUUGUACUUCUCCAUCAAAGAACAUCCUUUAACCAGUUAUAUGUUGAUCGGGGGGUCUUGCAUCCCCCUGACAGAAACCUGUCGGGGGUUUACAACCGGUCCUGGUCUUCAAAGAGGACUGUUUGGCAUUAUCGUAACAAAGGACCCCCGGGGGAAAGAUCGACCAGACUGAGAGACGACGGCAGACGAGUAGCGGUAUUUCACACACCCAAAGAGACAGCAGCGGGCAGCUACGAUUCCAAAUAUGGUCAUGAGGAGCAGCAUCCUUCCGGAUGCAACGAGGGAGGGGGCUAAUUCCACGGACCGACGCAAAGUGGAAAAGUGUUCUGUGGUCCGACGAGUCCGCAUUUCAAAUUGUUUUGGGAAAUUGUGGACGCCGUGUCCUCCGGGCCUAACAGGAAAAGAACCAUCCAGAGUGUUUUUUUUGUAUCCUGUUUUUAUUUCUGUUUAACACAACGUCCCAACUUCAUUGGAAUUGGGUUGUGGUUCUUCUGGUACUUUGGCUUUUUAUUUGGAUGCUUAUAAAUCUUGUUGUUGUGUUUUUCCUGCCGAUGUGUGAGGUGUUCAUGAAGGUGGACAUCAAAGGAAACCGUGUGGUUCUUCUACAUGGGCGUGCCAAGUUAGAACACACACACACGUGCACACACGCGUCUCCUAAAAAGCUCAUCUUUCUUCCUCAGAUGUAAAAUCAGACCUUCGACAUUCUUGGGACGACUUUUUAAGAACCUUGCCAGCAAGUUGUUGGAAGAACUCAUUGAAUCCAAACUAAAACGAUGGGUGGACAAAAUGGUGAUUCCUGGAGUCGUCACCGUUGAAGCCACCAUCGUCUAUCAUGAGGGCAACCUGGUGGUCGGAGGAAACCUGAGACUGGUUUCUGAGGUGAUCCAGGAGAUUCUGGGGCAGUACCAGACAAGGAGAAGAAGAAGAAACUUGUAGUUCAUCUCCUUUGUGUUGUGGUUGACUUUGUUCGGCCGCACGGUGACGGUAACGCGUCUCAGCUUCGAGGUCACGUGAUGACGAGAUGCGCGCGUGAGGCCGGCGAGGUCGCUUCGGAGUUUAUCGGGCUCUUCUCAUUCGCGGGGUACAAGAUGACGAUGACGAAGGAAGAGUCGGCCCAUACAGGCGAUUGUACAAAGAAAACU